CUGGUGUAGCUCCGCCCUCUGCUGAUGUAGCCCCGUCCUGUGCUGCCGGCCGGCCCAGCCUAGGAACGCCAAACCCUGCCGGUGCAGAAGAAAGAAUACUCCAGAAGAAUGGCCAACAUGCACAAAAGUAUUUUAUUUUUUCAUGUUUUUCACACAUAAAUUUUUGUCUGAAUUUGAUCUUUUUAUUUUUUCUUAAUGGCAAUGUCCAUGUGCGCAUGAUCAAGGACAAACUUUUCACUGCAAAAG
This is a long non-coding RNA of Anguilla anguilla (European eel), 246 nucleotides long. RefSeq lists it as uncharacterized. The record is from RefSeq and is a predicted model, not a curated record. Lineage: Eukaryota; Metazoa; Chordata; Actinopteri; Anguilliformes; Anguillidae. The transcript is spliced from 2 exons.